Molecule: ribosomal RNA, 252 nt
Filed under: uncultured Bacteroidales bacterium
Lineage: Bacteria; Pseudomonadati; Bacteroidota; Bacteroidia; Bacteroidales
Description: partial 16S ribosomal RNA
Rfam family: Bacterial small subunit ribosomal RNA
Source: RNAcentral
UACGGAGGAUGCGAGCGUUAUCCGGAUUUAUUGGGUUUAAAGGGUGCGUAGGCGGGCAUUUAAGCCGGCGGUCAAAUGUCGGGGCUCAACCCCGGCCCGCCGUUGAAACUGGCAGUCUCGAGUUGGAGAGAAGUAUGCGGAAUGCGCGGUGUAGCGGUGAAAUGCAUAGAUAUCGCGCAGAACUCCGAUUGCGAAGGCAGCAUACCGGCGCUCAACUGACGCUCAUGCACGAAAGCGUGGGUAGCGAACAGG